UACGUAGGUAGCAAGCGUUGUUCGGAAUUACCGGGCGUAAAGAGUGUGUAGGCGGUGUUCUAAGUCUGUCGUGAAAUCUCCCGGCUUAACUGGGAGGGUGCGGCGGAAACUGGAAUGCUAGAGGGUGGGAGAGGAAAGCGGAAUUCCUGGUGUAGCGGUGAAAUGCGUAGAUAUCAGGAGGAACACCAGUGGCGAAGGCGGCUUCCUGGUCUGCGACUGACGCUGUGGCGCGAAAGCUAGGGGAGCAAACGGG
RNAcentral lists this ribosomal RNA (253 nucleotides) under uncultured bacterium. Its description in RNAcentral is "partial 16S ribosomal RNA". It matches the Rfam family "Bacterial small subunit ribosomal RNA", at positions 524 to 776 of the family's 1533-position model. The record is from RNAcentral.